GAUGAACGCUGGCGGCGUGCCUAAUACAUGCAAGUCGAGCGAACGGACGAGAAGCUUGCUUCUCUGAUGUUAGCGGCGGACGGGUGAGUAACACGUGGAUAACCUACCUAUAAGACUGGGAUAACUUCGGGAAACCGGAGCUAAUACCGGAUAAUAUUUUGAACCGCAUGGUUCAAAAGUGAAAGACGGUCUUGCUGUCACUUAUAGAUGGAUCCGCGCUGCAUUAGCUAGUUGGUAAGGUAACGGCUUACCAAGGCAACGAUGCAUAGCCGACCUGAGAGGUUGAUCGGCCACACUAGAACUGAGACACGGUCCAGACUCCUACGGGAGGCAGCAGUAGGGAAUCUUCCGCAAUGGGCGAAAGCCUGACGGAGCAACGCCGCGUGAGUGAUGAAGGUCUUCGGAUCGUAAAACUCUGUUAUUAGGGAAGAACAUAUGUGUAAGUAACUGUGUACAUCUUGACGGUACCUAAUCAGAAAGCCACGGCUAACUACGUG
This 497-nucleotide ribosomal RNA is filed under the name uncultured bacterium. RNAcentral's name for it is "partial 16S ribosomal RNA". It matches the Rfam family "Bacterial small subunit ribosomal RNA", at positions 28 to 507 of the family's 1533-position model. The record is from RNAcentral.